This 2715-nucleotide long non-coding RNA is filed under the name Salmo salar (Atlantic salmon). Its description in RNAcentral is "lncRNA (ENSSSAG00000082103.1)". Lineage: Eukaryota; Metazoa; Chordata; Actinopteri; Salmoniformes; Salmonidae. The record is from RNAcentral.
CAGACAAGAACAAAUAGCAGCAGGAACGGUUAUACAGCUGGAGACACAAUACUGUUAAAAUAUAUAUCAUAACAAAUAGCAGCAGGAAUGGUUAUAGAGCUGGAGACACAAUAAUGUUAAAAUAUAUAUCAGUGUAUUAUGGAAACCAGUUAUUGCAGGUAAAUACGAUUAUAAUAAUAAAUUCAGUAAGGUUCACAUUUGCACUAAAAUGACCAUGAACGGGCAAUCAGUUGGGUAUAAAACCCACUACAGUAGGUAUUGUAUGGUUUCAGUUGGGUAUAAAACCCACUACAGUAGGUAUUGUAUGGUUUCAGUUGGGUAUAAAACCCACUACAGUAGGUGUUUUAUGGUUUCAGUUGGGUAUAAAACCCUCUACAGUAGGUAUUGUAUGGUUUCAGUUGGGUAUAAAAUCCACUACAGUAGGUGUUUUAUGGUUUCAGUUGCGUAUAAAACCCACUACAGUAGGUAUUUUAUGGUUUCAGUUGGGUAUAAAAUCCACUACAGUAGGUAUUUUAUGGUUUCAGUUGGGUAUAAAACCCACUACAGUAGGUAUUUUAUGGUUUCAGUUGGGUAUAAAACCCACUACAGUAGGUAUUUUAUGGUUUCAGUUGGGUAUAAAACCCACUACAGUAGACAUUGUAUGGUUUCAGUUGGGUAAUAAACCCACUACAGUAGGUAUUUUAUGGUUUCAGUUGGGUAUAAAACCCACUACAGUAUGUAUUGUAUGGUUACAGUUGCAGAUAAUCAUGUGGUUACAUAUUCAUUUGCAGACCGGAGCCCAAGACACCUUGAUUACACAGAUCACACAGAGGAGAGGUUCUGAUUUUCAUUAAAUGAUGUGUUCUAGGUGGAAGGUCUUCAUUACACAGAUCACACAGAGGAGAGGUUCUGAUUUUCAUUAAAUUAUGUUUUCUAGGUGUGAAGGUCUUCAUUACAUCACACAGAGGAGAGGUUCUGAUUUUCAUUACAUGAUGUUUUCUAGGUGGAAGGUCUUCAUUACAUAGAUCACACAGAGGAGAGGUUCUGAUUUUCAUUACAUGAUGUUUUCUAGGUGGAAGAUGAACCCUGUGUAUGAGAUUACAAUGUAUCAGCUGGUGAUUAGGAUUGUUAGAUGAAUCCAGUAAGUUCCUGAUGAACUCAACUGGUGAGCCUCUUUAGCAGCUAGUUCCAUGGACACACUGAUUUCAAUGUCCUUCACCAAGGUCAGAUGACUUUCAGUCAACAGUCUCUUUAGUGUAGCUUCACUCCGUAGCCCACAUACUAGUCUGUCUCUAAUGAUGUCAUUUACAACACCAUUCAACUCACAGUGUUCUGAUAGUUUCUUUAAUGCAGCAGCAAACAUUGGUACUGAUUCUCCCUCUUCCUGAUGUCUCCUGUGGAACCUGAACCUUUCAGCAUUAACUAGUGGUUCUGGUGAAAAAUGUCAUUGAAGUAUCUCCACAAUAUCCCCAUACGUCUUAUUACCUGUUCUGUCUGGCUGUAGCAGGCUGCCUAGUAAAUUACAUGUCUUUGGCCCCAUUACACAAAAAUGUCAUUUGCAGGAACAAAAUAUUCAAACCGUUCUGUAUAUGAGCUCUACUGCUCAAAACUUUCAUCAAACUGUCCAGUGUUUCCAACAAUUCCAGACAUGUUUCAUUUCUCAAUCAAUCAAAUUCAAUCAAAUGUAUUUCUAAAGCCCUUUUUACAUCAGCAGAUGUCACAAAUUGCUAUACAGAAACCCAGCCUAAAACCCCAAACAGCAAGCAAUGCAGAUGUAGAAGCACGGUGGCUAGGAAAAACUUCCUAGAAAGGCCAAAACCUAGGAAGAAACCUAGAGAGGAACCAGGCUCUGGAUGAUGGCCAGUCCUCUUCUGGCUGUGCCAGGUGGAGAUUAUAACAGAACAUGGCCAAGAUGUUCAAUUGUUUAUAAAUGACCAGCAGGGUCAAAUAAUAAUAAUCACAGUGGUUGUAGAGGGUUCAACAGGUCAGCACCUCAGGAGUAAAUGUCAGUUGGUUUUUCAUAGCCAAUUAUUCAGAGUUAGAAACAGCAGGUGUGGUAGAGAAAGAGCGAGUCGAAAACAGCAGGUCCGGGACAAGAUAGCACAUCUGGUCAAUAGGCUCCUGAUUGUCACUCACUUCAGUAUUGUCCUCAACAACAUCAAUAUUUUCCUCAGUCACGUGAUCUUCAUUCACUUCACUCAUUUAGCAGUUUUUAAUUCCAAAUUCAUCUUCACAGUUGAAUAAAUGUUCAUGCCUGUCACAACUCCUACCGAAGGUGGCCCCCCCUCCUGCUCGGGUGACGCUCGGCGGUCGUCGUCGCCGGCCUACUAGCUGCCACUACUAGCUGCCACUUUGAGAUAUCAGCUGAUGUAAGAAGGGCUAUAUAAAUACAUUUGAUUUGAUUUGCCAUUGAUUCCAUUUUUGUUUUCCCCCUUUUCGUUAUUGUUCUUAGUUGGGCUGAUUAGCAGGCUUUAUUAGCCAGUAGGCCCACCUUGUCUUUGUGUGGGAUUAUUUUCAUUGUAUGCUGUGCGUCUUUACACGCUGUUUGUUGCACAUUUUCAGUGGUGCGUAUGUUUGCGCAAGCUGUGUUUUGUCCCUUGUGUUUUGGGCACUUUGUUUUGCAGUGCUCUCUGUGCGCUGUUUGGGUUGGCUUGUCGUUUGGUCAGUGUGCCUAUUAACCUGUUUGGGAUUGAGGGCAGUAUUUUCACGGCCAGAUAAGAAACGUACCCGAUUUAA